Molecule: ribosomal RNA, 253 nt
Filed under: uncultured bacterium
Lineage: Bacteria
Description: partial 16S ribosomal RNA
Rfam family: Bacterial small subunit ribosomal RNA
Source: RNAcentral
UACGUAGGUGGCAAGCGUUGUCCGGAUUUACUGGGCGUAAAGAGCGCGCAGGCGGCUGGGCAAGUCCGAUGUGAAAGCUCCCGGCUUAACUGGGAAAUUGCAUCGGAAACUGCUCGGCUUGAAGGUGGGAGAGGGUAGCGGAAUUCCCGGUGUAGUGGUGAAAUGCGUAGAUAUCGGGAGGAACACCAGUGGCGAAGGCGGCGACCUGGGUAGAUACUGACGCUGAGGUGCGAAAGCGUGGGGAGCAAACAGG